RNAcentral lists this ribosomal RNA (372 nucleotides) under uncultured organism. RNAcentral's name for it is "bacterial SSU rRNA". It matches the Rfam family "Bacterial small subunit ribosomal RNA", at positions 526 to 896 of the family's 1533-position model. The record is from RNAcentral.
CAGAGACUGCAAGCGUUAUUCGGAUUCACUGGGCGUAAAGGGUGCGCAGGCGGUUGGGUGUGUCAGAUGUGAAAUCCCGAGGCUUAACCUCGGAACUGCGUCUGAAACUACUCGACUAGAGUACUGGAGAGGGUAACGGAAUUCACGGUGUAGCAGUGAAAUGCGUAGAUAUCGUGAGGAACACCAGAGGCGAAGGCGGUUACCUGGACAGUUACUGACGCUCAGGCACGAAAGCAUGGGGAGCAAAAGGGAUUAGAUACCCCUGUAGUCCAUGCCCUAAACGGUGCACACUAGGUCUUAGCGGAUUCGACCCCGCUAGGGCCCAAGCUAACGCGUUAAGUGUGCCGCCUGAGGACUACGGUCGCAAGACUA